CCCUUAGAUGUUCUGGGCCGCACACGCGCUACACUGAAGGAGGCAGCGUGUACUCCUGGAUCGAAAGAUUUGGGUAACCCGCGAAUCUCCUUCGUGCUAGGGAUUGAGGUUUGCAAUUAUCCUUCAUGAACGAGGAAUUCCCAGUAAGUGCAAGUCAUAAGCUAGCGCUGACUACGUCCCUGCCCUUUGUACACACCGCCCGUCGCUACUACCGAUUGAAUGAUUUAGUGAGGACUUCGGACUGGGACCGAUGCGGCUUUCGGGCUGCGUCGGUAUUCUGGAAAGAUGUCCAAACUGUAUCAUUUAGAGGAAGUAAAAGUCGUAACA
Molecule: ribosomal RNA, 327 nt
Filed under: uncultured eukaryote
Lineage: Eukaryota
Description: partial 18S ribosomal RNA
Rfam family: Eukaryotic small subunit ribosomal RNA
Source: RNAcentral